RNAcentral lists this ribosomal RNA (253 nucleotides) under uncultured bacterium. RNAcentral describes it as "partial 16S ribosomal RNA". It matches the Rfam family "Bacterial small subunit ribosomal RNA", at positions 524 to 776 of the family's 1533-position model. The record is from RNAcentral.
UACAGAGGUCUCAACCGUUGUUCGGAUUCAUUGGGCGUAAAGGGUGCGUAGGCGGUCGCGUAAGUCAGGUGUGAAAUCCCGGGGCUCAACCCCGGAACUGCACUUGAUACUGCGUGGCUAGGGUACUGGAGAGGAGACUGGAAUUUACGGUGUAGCAGUGAAAUGCGUAGAUAUCGUAAGGAAGACCAGUGGCGAGGGCGAGUCUCUGGACAGUUACCGACGCUGAGGCACGAAGGCCAGGGGAGCAAACGGG